AGUGAACGCUGGCGGCGUGCUUAACACAUGCAAGUCGAACGAGAACGGAUUAUAGCUUGCUAUAAUUGUCAGCUAAGUGGCGCACGGGUGAGUAAUGUAUAGAUAACCUGCCCUCUAGAAAGGAAUAACAGUUGGAAACGACUGCUAAUGCCCUAUAUGCCUUUAAUACAUAAGUAUGCAAGGGAAACGCUUUAGUGCUAGAGGAUGGGUCUGUAUGGUAUCAGUUAGUUGGUGAGGUAAUGGCUCACCAAGACUAUGACGCCUAACUGGUUUGAGAGGAUGAUCAGUCACACUGGAACUGAGACACGGUCCAGACUCCUACGGGAGGCAGCAGUGGGGAACAUUGCAAAAUGGACGAAAGUCUGAUGCAGCAACGCCGCGUGGAGGAUGACACAUUUCGGUGCGUAAACUCCUUUUAUAUAGGAAGAUAAUGACGGUACUAUAUGAAUAAGCACCGGCUAACUCCGUGCCAGCCGCCGCGGUAA
RNAcentral lists this ribosomal RNA (485 nucleotides) under uncultured bacterium. RNAcentral's name for it is "partial 16S ribosomal RNA". It matches the Rfam family "Bacterial small subunit ribosomal RNA", at positions 29 to 523 of the family's 1533-position model. The record is from RNAcentral.